AGCGGCCCAGAGGCUCUGAAUGCCCUCCCAGAUUCACUGUGAUCUUGCAUUCCCGGCGAGGUUUGGAAAACUUGCAGCAGGGAUCCAGGCAUCAGUGUGCAGCCAGUGUUGAGAAUCACUGCUUUGGGAGGUGGUCACAGAAGCCCAAGCAAGAAAUGACGACCAUCUAACUGAGGAGUGUGGCCAUGAAGAGGAAUUUGAGAUCUAUUUUUGAGCGUAGAUACUGGAUCCUUCAGGUUUGGUUGGUGUUCACCCUCAAGCCUCCAUGCCAAUGCACAUUUACUCGGGCCACUCUGAAAAUUCACUUGUGAUGCCUCCCUGUCAGUUUUGCCUGGAAUUCUAUUUCCUGCCCUUCUUCCUGGAAGACUCUUACAUAUCCUUCUAAGCUCUUCCCAAAGGAGCCCUCCCUUCUUGAAUUGGAAAGGUGGACUGUUUUAGAUGUGGAGCACAUGAAAGUGACUGGGGCAAACUGUGUGUAGGGGACAGACAGAGGUAAUCAGGGACUGAGAGGGUCUAAGAGAGCACUCCAUGAAGACCCCAAAUCAACACUGAACAUACGAAGUACUGAAUGCUGUGUGUCGUGCCCCCUGCUGUCUGUGAGCUUUUCUCUCAGUCCUGGGACAUGGUGCAUGAGGAGUGUGAAAUGGUUGAGCCUCCAUUCCCUUGCGAGAAACUCUUCCCUAAAGAGUGAGCUGAUAAGCAGGACCCCCAUCCCCUCCCAAUUCUCCUCAGGAUGCACCUGCUCGUCUUUCUCCAGGACAGCCUCUACCACAUCACCAACCCAUGCUGUUGAACCACCAAGAAGACCACUGAUUCUGAUUCGAAUUUCUCCCAAUGGUCUCCCCCAUGGCCUCUGUUCAGGGAAUGUGUGCCUCCCAUGGGGAGGACCCAGGUUGUGAGACUGAAGGUCUUUUGACUCUCUUGGGCUGAAGGUGGAGGUCGUUGGCUAAGAGUUAUGAGCUAGGUUGAAAGAAAACCGUAAGGUAAAUUCACCUAAUAGGGACAUCUGGAGAACAAAGUGUCUGUGAUCCUCUAUGAACUGCUGGUGUGUGACCUUGUGUGACCUCAGGUAAACCACUUGAUCUCUCUGAGCCUUAGUUUCGACAUCUUCAAAAUGGGAAUCAAAUAGCGAUCUUUUAGGGCUGCUGUAAUAAGUAAAUAUGUUACACUACCUUUCGUGUUUAGUUUUUCCAUUUAGAUUUUAAUUCCAUUUCAAUUGAUUUUUGUGUCUGGCGUAAUGUUGGUAUUUAACUUAUUUUUUCCCUGAAUGAAUAGACAAUCGUACCAUAACACCAUUUAUUGAAUAACUCCCUCUUGCUCUCAUCAAUGUGAAAUUCCAUCUUUAUCAUACACUGAAUUCUGAUCUGUUUGUUUCUGGACACUCAAAUUCUGUUCUGUUAAUCCACUGGCCUAUUCCUGGACCAAUAUCACACUGUUUUAUUAUUGUAGCUUCACAAUAUGUUGUGAUAUGUGCUCCCUUAUCAUUAUUCUUCGAUUGCAAGAUUUUCUUAAUUGUUUUUAGGCAUGUGUUUUAUCCCCCCGGAAGAAAGUUCUUUUCAAGUUCUUAAGUGCCAAGACAUAUUGGAACUCAAUUCUAACUGGGUACAAAUUCAUAGGGAUUCAAGGAAUGUCUUAGUCACCUUGAACUACUAUAACAAAAUACCUUAGGUUGGCUGACUUAAACAAUGGAAAUCUAUGUUUUAUAGGUCUGGAGCCUGGAGGUCCAACAAGGUCAGGUCCUGGUGAGGACCCCCUUUCCAGCUUGCAGUUGUCCACUUUCUAGCUGAAUCCUCAUAUGGCGGAGAGACAGAGAGAGCUCUUAAGUCGCUUCCACUCUUCAUAAGAGCCUUAAUUCCAUCACGAAGACCCCAUCCUUAUGACAUCACCUAAAGACCUCACGCCAAAUGCCAUCAGAGUGGAGAUCAGGGCUUCAAUAUGUGAAUUUGGGGGGCACAAAUGUUCCCCCAAAAUCUCAUCUCUUUUAUACAGUGACUUCUCCUAAUUAGGAGAACGGCAUGUAUUUCAAUUUAC
This is a long non-coding RNA of Suricata suricatta (meerkat), 2031 nucleotides long. RefSeq lists it as uncharacterized. The record is from RefSeq and is a predicted model, not a curated record. The transcript is spliced from 4 exons. Lineage: Eukaryota; Metazoa; Chordata; Mammalia; Carnivora; Herpestidae.